CCGGACUCCUCGCAGCCAGGUGGCUUGAAAGCGAUGAAGCUGAUGCACUGUACUUGCCUGGUGUUGUCGAAGCCGAUGAUGCGGACAUAGGCGCCAGGGUAUUCCUUCUUGACCUCCUCCAACUCCUUGAGCACCUGCGUGGCGUCAGUGCACCCGAACAUGGGAAGCUUCCACAUUGUCCAGUACCUCCCGUCCUAGUACCCUGGGGAGUUGCCGUGCUCACGGAAGACGAAACCGACCUUGCUGAACUCGAGGCAAGGAACCCAUUUGGAGCGGAUGAGAUACUCGAUCUGCUUCAGGAGGGACUCCACGGUGAGAGGUGGCAGGUAGGAAAGGGUCUCGAACUUCUUGAUGCCCUCAAUUGGCCACACCUGCAAUUAGAUUAAAAUUAGCACACAAAGUGUGAUUUGAGACACAUAUCGAUGGAGUAUUUCACUUCACACAUAUCGGUAUGAUGAUAUACAUACCUGCAUGCUCGUGAUCCUGCCACCGUUGGAGACGCUGCCGAGGCCAGCGCCGGCAGAGCGGCGGCUGACGGGGAGCCCGGCGGUGGACUUGAGGCCCCGGAAAGGAGCAACAGCGGUAGCCGCCGCCGACAUCACUGUCGGACCCAUAGCAUCCACCCUUGUAUCACUAGAGUAUAUCUACUUAGCUAAUAUGCUAAGUUUGGCACGGAGAGAGGAGGUCGAGUGGACUUCAUUCCUGGUCACAAGGGUUUAUAUAUACCAUAUAACAUACGAGCAAUUUGUGAUUAAUUUGUUGUCGUUCUAGGAGAUGUGGAAAGGGUGGAUGCCGUUCGUUGGUUGCCUUAUCCGUUCUAGAGAAGGGAUGGAUGACCGACGCUCGCUCAGCCGUCUCCUUCGUCCAUCGUUGCCAAUCUUUCUAGCUAUAAUUGGAAGUUCCAAAGGAACAUACGGUUUCAUGCCUACUUCCAUCGGCCUAUCAUGUACCAAUCCAAUAAAAGGACAUCGUUCAACCAUCAAUCCAUGUGUGUGUAGUAAGUGAUUGGCUACGAACCUUCAGCUGACUUGCUUUAUUGGAUAUUUCUGUAAAGCGAGUCCACGGUGUGUGGGUUUAAAAUCUCGUGGCGGCAACUGUUGACGGGUGCAAAUAUCAGUAGCCUUAAAACAAUAAACUUUACUCCGUCCCUUCCGAAAUGCAAGAAUGUCCUAAGUCAAACUUCUUAUGCUGCAGGACCAUAGUUUUUGAGGUGUUCUUCUCACGAGUCCACGAAGAACGGGAAUUUUUUGGUGUCGGGUAAGGGCGGGGGAAUAUAUAGAUGCUAGCAUCAGCAUGACGGGCUAACGGGUCAGGUAGGAUUUUGGACGACGUAGCACCUGACAUGUGGGGGCCACAUGUAAGAAAACCUGUCAAAAUGUCAUAACCCUCUGUUUUGGUCAACUUGAUACAAUCUGAUACAAAACGUGUGGUUUUCCUGACAAAUUAGCAAAUUUUGUGUCUCUGUGAGAAGCACGCCCCAAAAACUGUGGUUCCGUGAAAUUUAUUCACUAGUUACACUUUAUCUACAAACAUCUACGAUUCUAAAAUAGUUUGGUAUAUAUUUUCCGUAAUAUAAUUAUUUGAUAUUCUAAAUUCGGGGAUUUGUUCUUAUAAACUUGGUCGAAGUUUAAAAAGUUUGACUUCGGACAAAGUUACGACUUUUUACAUUUAGGAAUGAAGGGAAUACAUUUUAGUAAAGCAAUUGAGGAAUUGACAGAAUUAAAUAUCUUAAAUUAUACUGGUCCAUCGUGUACUCAUGGCAACAAAAUAAAUUUAUAGUCGAAAAGUUGGACCAUGAAAACUUAAAACGUGAUACAUUAAAAUUGUUGAAUCACUCUACAUCUUGUAAUUUUCUCUUGCAACCUUCUGGCGCGCUACUCAUUCCACAUUUGGUACUAUAUGUAUAAAUGUAUAUAUAUACCGCAUUAGGAGCCUCUAUUACUGUUUUAGUAUAAAUAGCAGUUUCCAUCGACUAUGCACUUCAUUAACUUUUUCUUCACGAGAUAACUUGCUUAUCGAUUUUCUUUAAUUAUCCAGAUGGCUUCUACUAGUUUGUUUCCUUGCUUACUGGGAUUUCCGCAGACUUUACGGUUAGGUAUUAUUGUCGUGUGGACAACACGGUGGCCGGAUGUUGAGAUGAUGAUGUCCUUUAUCUCCGUGUUGCUUCUGAGGACUGCGGAUCCGAGGCUAGUGGCGGUAUGGGAUGCCUCUCUACCUCUUGAUCAGGUCAAUCCGGCUCAGCAAGAGGCGGAUCGAUGGUGGCCGGUGUGACUAGAAGCGGGGAGGUAUAUAUGAAACGUUUCUUGCUUCCAGCAUCUCUUCUAGCGGUAUAUAUGUCGUCAGCUGGUUGAGGGAUUGAUGGCAAUCGAUCAUGGCUACGAUGACAUGUAUACGCGCCGGUAGGAACACAUAUCAGGCAAUGUCGAUGCACCUGCAUUGGGCCCUUGCUGAAGGUGGUGGUGCGUAUGGCAGUCUAAAGAUUUAAGACACAAAUUUAGACUUAAAACUUAAAUAAUCAAUUUGUGCCAGCGGGAAACACACAAACACGUACCGGUAAAUUAUCAUAAUCAGAAUUUGUCGACGAAUUUGAUAUUCUUUUACAAAAUAUACUUAUCUUAAUAUGUAUAACCGGAGUUUAUAUUACAUGCCCCUCUCCCAACGAUAGUUGUAGUACUCUUAUAAUAGUAGUACUCAUGAAUACAGUUAAUCCGGGUUGUUGGGAGAGAUCACAUGCAUAAAUACAACAUGAAACAAACGUGUGAAAAAGGUACAUAAAAUCGGUGUGACCCGUUCUUGUAUUAUAAGAAAUCAACUUGCUUAGGCCUUGCCGGACUCCUCACAACCCGGUGGCUUGAAGGCGAUGAAGCUGAUGCACUGCACUUGCCUGGUGUUGUCGAAGCCGAUGAUGCGGACAUAGGCGUCAGGGUACUCCUUCUUCACCUCCUCCAGCUCCUUUAGCACCUGCGUGGCGUCGGUGCACCCGAACAUGGGAAGCUUCCACAUUGUCCAGUACCUGCCGUCGUAGUACCCGGGAGAGUUGCCGUGCUCACGGAAGACGAAACCGACCUUGCUGAACUCGAGGCAAGGAACCCACUUGGAGCGGAUGAGAUACUCGAUCUGCUUCAAGAGGGACUCCACGGUGAGAGGCGGCAGGUAGGAAAGGGUUUCGAACUUCUUGAUGCCCUCAAUUGGCCACACCUACAAUUAGAUUAAUAAUUAGCACCGAAAGUAUAAUUUGAGACACAUAUCAGUAUUUCACUUCAACAUAUGUACAUGAUGACAUACAUACCUGCAUGCACCUGAUCCUUCCACCGUUGGAGACGCUGCCGAGACCAGCGCUGGCUGAGCGGCGGCCGAUGGGGAGCCCGGCGGUGGACUUGAGGCCCUGGAAAGGAGCAACGGCAGUAGCCGCUGACGACAUCACUGUGGGAGCCAUCGUACACGUACGUAGAUAGCUAACAAGAGGAGGCAGGCUUGCUUGAGUGCUCUCUAGCUACAGCGGCUUAUAUAACUGUAGGCUCCCCACCCAUCCAAUAUCAGCACAAGAUCUAGGAGGGGUGGCUGCAGUUCGCCGCGCGGAUUUGCCCAGGCCACGCUGGCAUCCUACGGAUCAGGUCGGGCGCCACAUGGCCGCACGAAAUGGCGCGCGUUAUCCUCUGGACGGAUACAAUUGGCUGCAACGCACUCUGCAAAUCAUGCCAUGAAGUGACCAAUUUUCACCUAUCAGGAUAGAUCCAAUGUGCCACGGCAUGCACUCAAAAACAGAACUUGCUAAUCCCUCCAAUCCAUAAAAAAUCUCGCCCACUUAUUAGAAAAUUUGUAAUGAGUUAAUGCAAAAUGAGCAGCACUUUUUAUGAACUAGAGGAACAACAAAUUAAGAGAAACUCUUCUAAGAUCUUAUCGAGAACGAAGCUUGCCCCCGCGUCGCUCAGUCUGGGGCGACACGGGCGGCAACCACACCAGCCCCGGCAGCAGCCUCUCCCCGUCCUCUCCUCCCCCUCGCCGCCGCCGGGCAAAGCCCGCACGGGGACGGCGGCGGCGGGGCUGUUUUUCUUGGCGGGGGUGUCCUAGAGCUCUUGGCUGAGGCGUUUGAGGUGCUGCCUCAUCGUGGUCGCGGCGUCUCCGGCCCGAUCCGGCAGGCUAUGCCUCGUCUUCGGCUAGAUCCGGCCGGCUUCCUCCCGGAUCCGGUGUUUCCCCUCGUUCUUCCUCUCCCUGGUGCUCGGUCUGCUCGUGGCUGCGCGGCUUCACGGCGGCGCUCUUCGGCCGGAUCUAGCUACUCGUUGGCCAGAUCCGUCAUCUCCUCCGGCUGAUCCGGCAUGUCCCAGGUCUCUUCGUUUCCAUCAUUUUUCCUCUCAGUUUGGUGAGGCGGCUGAUUGAACUUCACCGGCGGCAGAUGGGCUGCUGCUGCGGCCAUACAUGGUCCAAGUCGGUCCUUUUCGAUGCCAUGGUGGCGUGGUUUUCAUUUUCGGUCGCGUCUUCGGCUGCUGCCCGUGUGCGAGGUAUGGACGUCGGCUCCGGUGUUUGGAGUGUUGCUCUGGAUGAAAACUGCCCGUGUGCGAGGUAUGCCGAAGACAACGAUGUUGUAGCGCCGUUUUCCUUCUUGGAGGUGUCGUCGAAGAGCUUCACUUUCCCUCACUUUGAUGUUUGGUGUCUUCGGGUGAAAACCUAAGAUUUGGCUAUGGCCAGAUCGGGCGACAACGGCGUUUUUACGUCGAUUUCCUCCUUGGGGGCGUUGUCAUGGAGACAACGACUCUUGGUGGCAUCGGGUGGUGUGGUCCGUCUAUGGUGGAGCUUGUUGUCUCGAGUUGUUGAAGGUUUGGUGGUGUCUCUUCUUGUGUCAUGUGUUAGCUUAGGCUGUCGGUUUGUGUCCGGCGAGAACGUGCGUUUCUUAUCCUUUGGUGCGGUUUCGGCAUGUGAUGCCUUUCGUCUUCACUAUCGUCACGUAGGUGUCGUGUUGUAUUCUCGGUGGUGUGUGGUCUUUCGGCUUAGCCAACGGCAAGUGGAGGUAUGAUCUCGGUUGUGUAUUGCCCUUCGACUUCAUCGGCGGCACAUCGGCGUCGCGGUGGGUCUCAGUGACGCGCAGCCCUUCGACUCUGCCGGCUACGUAGGUGUCAUGGUGCGGCCUUGACCCUGUGCUUCCCUUCAGCUACGGCGACGACAUAGUGUCUGGGUGGGCUCGUCAGAUCGACGCCUUUCGACUACAUCAACUAUGCUCUUCAUUGUGCAUUUAUUUUGCCAUUGACAUGUUUCAAGAGUCUAGGUUUUUUCCUUGUGUUUCUUUUAGCAAAUGCUGUUCUGCAGGCUGGCUUUUGCCCACCCGAUCAGAAAAGAAAAACAAAUUAAAGGCUAAAAUCAAGCGAUGUUAUAUUCCCUUAGCUAUUACAAAUAUGGAUGAUAAGAGUUAUUUAUCCUUUUUCAACGAGUAACCCUUUACUUGGAAGUUCCAUGUGCAUGGCGCUGCAAGAAAACAAACAUCAUAAUGGGGCAAGACUUUUUUUUUUAUAAACAUCCAAUUUGGGUUAAAGUCUGAAAGAAUUUGGCUAUCUGAACUUUCAGUUUCCACAUUCUUUUACCUACUCAAUUCUUCAGCCAACAGGAUCAAUGGCGACCUACUAACACCAACCAGAACACAUGGGUCACAAACACGAAAAAGGGCUAGAAGGCUACUUAUACACACUCAUGUGUACUGCGAGCAAAAGAACAUAAUGUACAAAACUUUACAAAAUCUAGGGAAUUAAGACCUUCCCGUAUGCUGUUGCUGCCGCUGCUGCUUCAUGCUGGCUCUCCUGGCAACAUCCCAUGGUUUGUGAGGCACACCUACACCUUGCUGGGAUGCGAAGAACGACUCGUAUCCCGGGGAGUCGAAAGCAAAACCAGUGUGCUUGGAGUUCUCUCGAGGGAGCAUGGAGAUCGCAUAGCUUCUUGCUUCUUCUGGGCUCAAAUGGCUCCUCUCAGGCAGAUGUAUCAUGCUGUAUUCGUGGGGGUCAUCCUUGUGCAUCUCCUGGAUUACUUGGUAGUCAUAGGGAAAGAGCCAUCUUUGGAGCCUGAGAAAGCACACAGCAUCAAAGACAACAAUUGAUUCAGCUACUUCAGUAUGUACAAUGGAAGGAAUAACAAACGGAUGGCAUUAACAAACAUAUAAUUUUGCAAAAGAGCUGGUAUCUUACGAUAGAUACAGGAAAUCACCAAAGAGAGCGAUGACUGGAGCAAGCAUUAGUGUGAGGUAGAAGAAAAAGGUACUCAUCAGAACAUAAAUCACAAAAUAUACAUUUUCCUGCACAAGGUACACAGCAUUAAGUCAAUGCAUUUGUAGCAAGUAAUCGUCAUCAGCAGUGUAAUAGCUACAUUAUUCACCCACCUGUCGGUCAAAUGAUGUCAUUAUCGCAGAAUAUAUGAAGAUAAACAGAAACCAGGCCGCUAUACUGCCAGCUACGCUGAAAUAAUGCCAUCUCGUGAUAGAAUUGCACGACAUGAGGAGACGUAGAUUAACAGUCACCACAACACAAGUAAAGGCCAUCGUGCUAACAUCCCAUUGACCAAGAAUCUUGCCAGAUGAACCGUGACCAUGCUGACUUGCAGCUGCAGUAAAGUAAUAGAACACUAUUGACUGGUAGAAGGCAAAGAAACCCCACACCGCAAUCACUUUCCACCGGAAGAAUGUGUUCCUAAUUCCUUCUUGGUAAAGUUGUGGGUAUUUUUUUGAUAGAGAUGCACUCACAUCCUGAAAGGGUUCAGUUUAGUGAAUGUAGCAAGGAGCGUCACUCCAGAACAAGAAAAGUAGAACAAAUACAAGCAACCAUACCUUAUCAAACAACCCAACCAUAAUUACAGGUAGUGCCGUGAAAAUGACAUUAUACAGAGACUGGAACCAGUCAUCAUAAAAUCGCUGACCAGAAAAGCCAGUUUGGAAAGUGAACCAGAACUGAGUUAGUGUAAAAGUCAGAUUCUUGUAGAAGAAGUAUGUGAUAACCUGAAACAGAAAGUGUCAAUGUUAAAAAAAUUAAACUACACAGAUUGGCAGCUACAAGCUAAGGGACCAAAGCAUACCUUGCACAAUCUCAAGUAUGACCACCGCCCAUGUACAAGAAGUAAAUCCGUAAGAUAUCGAAACUGAGCAAUGGCAAAAUCACUCGCCAUAACAGCUUGCAUUCCUUCUUGUCCGCUGAUGCCAAUACCAACAUGAGCAGCUUGAAUCAUACUCACAUCAUUAGCACCAUCACCAAUACUGAGAGUUAUCUUACGUGCACCUUUCCUAACUAAACUUGCAACCUACAAAUGUGUCAACAUUACAUGUUUUGGCAUCAUUCGAACCCAACAGGUUAUUAGGAAAUAAAUCCAAAAAUAAGAGACUUUGAGAUUGCUGAUGGGAUGGGUAACAACCAAAUAAGCACAUAUACAAUAAGUUAAUUAAUACUACCUUUGUUUCAAAAUAUUAUACCAAAACGUCUUAUAUUUUGAAACAGAGAUAGUACUUAUAGUACAAGAGUGUACAGGACAUUUAGUUAAGAGGCCAAAACUAGAAUAGCAAAAGCAACCAAUGCACAGUGGUUAAUAAUGAUCUUGUGAAUCAUGCACAAACUAUUUUGUUGUCAAGGUACAAAAUUGGAUCCUUUAAAAUGUAAUAAUAUCAAUAUCCCCCGUUUAUUGCCCAAGCAUCCUGAAAGGCAUGCAGCUGAGAGCUGCAGACCAUACUGCUAAUUAUUUCAUGGGAAAAGGCAAGGCAUGCAUGAUAAGAACGCUAAAAGCGAGAAUUGAUAUUUACCUGUGCCUUUUGCAGUGGAGAAACUCGACAACAUACAACUGAUUGGCAAAUUAAACUCAAACCAAGAAGAUUCACACGCAGAGCUGGGUCUAGAGCGUACAUCAAGCAUCGUCCAUCAAUAAUGAAAGCCAACUUUCGUCCUGGCGUGCUCCUCAAAGAACGGUGGGCUUCCUCAAGGUAACUUCUCAGACUCUGUUUUACCGAGUCUUUGAUAACACGUGCAAUUUCCACAGGGUCUCCCUGAAAAUGACUGGAACAUUAUUCAUGGCAAAGAUAUGUGCAUAAGUUGAUUUACAUCAAUCAGAUACAAAUGCUAAAUUGCUAAUUAUGGUUGAUCAAACUGCAAAACACACGAGAUAUCCAAAAGGCUAUAUAAACAUGAUGGAGAGGCUAAAGCACUGAAACAACAGAAUCAACAUAAAGUAUUUUGUACUAUUAUGCAACUAAGCCUUUUGUCCCAAGCAAGUUGGGGCAGGCUAGAUAUGAAACCCAAACAGAAACUAAAGCAAAGUGCAGGUAACAAAAGAGCAAGAGAGUAAAUCAAGGUUCAGGCACAUGGACUGCUGAUUUCCAUGCAGCCCUAUCAAAAGCAAAAUCUCUAGAUACAUUCCAGUCCUUCAAGUCCCUUUAACUGCCUCCUACCAAAAGCAAAUAUCAUAGUAAUCCACCAACCAAAGUAACAAGGGAACUACUUGUAACUUCUUAGUUCACAAGUACAUACCAGUUGAGCUAUCCAAUUAUUCUAAAUAAUAUGGUUUGAUACCUUUACCAAAGUCUCAACUUGUAUUCAUUUUAAAGCUUAUACAAGAUAUUAUAUGUUAUGGCUUAACAGUCUCCAUGACACAAUAUGGCUUGACUUCACAGUUUAAUUCUAUAGGAUUAUCUUACCCUGUCUUCAGCAUCUCUAAUUGCAUCUGUCUCAGAAGUGAUGAUGAAUUGUUUUGUAUCGUUAUUCACCAGGCUGCACGCUGCAGAGCAAAAACUAAAUAACUUCAGAAGCUUUUCUAUGUCAGGUGAAAGAGAGAGAAAAAGACCGCCCGCCCCCCACCAAUAAUCCAAAACUGAGCUUCUAUUAGACCCCUUAAGAACGAAACAAGCAUGCAAAUUGAUCUAUAUAUAAUUAAAACCUCACCAUAUGCUAUAUUAAUUGCUGUUUCCAUUUUAUCUCCAGUUAGCACCCAAAUUUUUAUGCCAGCUGCAGAAAGAGUUUCAAUGCAGGCUGGAACCCCUUCUUGCAGUUUGUCUUCUAUUGCAGUGCACCCUAUCAAUAUAAGGUCCUUUUCAAUCAACUCAGCCACCUACAGGGGAAGAAACAGAAGGAAAUUAUAUGGCAAUGUCCCAGCAAUAUCUUAAAUCAGAAUAUACAUUAAGUCUAUUACUUCAAAUUCCUUUUUCCUAGAAAUCACAGUGAACUUAGUACAUGAAAGAAUGAAAGGAUAAUGCUUUUCUAAUGGGGAUUUGAAAAAACAUCAUAAAAAUAAUAAUAUAAAGUACUGUAUGUUCUUGUUCUAGAUAAAUUACAAAUAUCUUUUGCUCAUGAUCCUCUUUCCUGACUAAAAAAUAUAUAUUAUUAUGUAAAAUACUAAUGUUCUAUGGCAGUACAAGAUAAUAAAUUAGCACAAAAAACUAUUAAACUGCAAAUGUCAGCUGUUAGGGAUGGAUGACAUGACUCCUGUAGUUUUGGGGGGAGAGAGAGAGGAGACACACUGAACAAAUUACUUCCUUCGUCUCCAAAGAUUGCCAUGCCACAUUCUAUUCGGUCAGUCAACCUUUUACAACUUCAAAAUUAACAAUUAUAAGUGAAUUGAAUUACUACAUGAAAAAUAACAGCACUCAAUUUGCUUGCAUAAUAAUUUGUACGCAAAACUUUUGCUUGUAUAUUAGCAUAGAAAUCAUAGCCAGAGUUUUAUGUUGGGAGAAUAUAAAAUUAAAAAAUGGCCUACAUUUGUCAGGUACAUUCAGUUAAUUGUUUCCAAAACCAAAUUAAUUUUCAUACAUAAAUACCAAACGGAUCAAUAGCAUGCUCAACAGUGCACAUGAGACUCGAGUUCAGUACUGGAUGACAGAAAGUAAAAAAAAUCAGGCAAGCACUAGAAGGUGGAGGGGAAG
Molecule: long non-coding RNA, 9871 nt
Filed under: Brachypodium distachyon (stiff brome)
Lineage: Eukaryota; Viridiplantae; Streptophyta; Magnoliopsida; Poales; Poaceae
Description: long non-coding RNA (BDIS_LNC003394)
Source: RNAcentral